UGGUCAUCAUAUUGUUUACCUUCUAAGAG
Molecule: non-coding RNA, 29 nt
Filed under: Mus musculus (house mouse)
Lineage: Eukaryota; Metazoa; Chordata; Mammalia; Rodentia; Muridae
Source: RNAcentral